RNAcentral lists this ribosomal RNA (443 nucleotides) under uncultured bacterium. Its description in RNAcentral is "partial 16S ribosomal RNA". It matches the Rfam family "Bacterial small subunit ribosomal RNA", at positions 338 to 795 of the family's 1533-position model. The record is from RNAcentral.
CCUACGGGGGGCUGCAGUGGGGGAUAUUGGACAAUGGGGGAAACCCUGAUCCAGCGACGCCGCGUGAGUGAAGAAGUAUUUCGGUAUGUAAAGCUCUGUCAGCAGGGAAGAAAGAAAUGACGGUACCUGACCAAGAAGCCCCGGCUAACUACGUGCCAGCAGCCGCGGUAAUACGUAGGGGGCAAGCGUUAUCCGGAAUUACUGGGUGUAAAGGGAGCGUAGACGGUGAUGCAAGUCUGGAGUGAAAGGCGGGGGCCCAACCCCCGGACUGCUCUGGAAACUGUGUAACUUGAGUGCAGGAGAGGUAAGCGGAAUUCCUAGUGUAGCGGUGAAAUGCGUAGAUAUUAGGAGGAACACCAGUGGCGAAGGCGGCUUACUGGACUGCAACUGACGUUGAGGCUCGAAAGCGUGGGGAGCAAACAGGAUUAGAUACCCUAGUAGUC